This 465-nucleotide ribosomal RNA is filed under the name Vreelandella stevensii. Its description in RNAcentral is "partial 16S ribosomal RNA". It matches the Rfam family "Bacterial small subunit ribosomal RNA", at positions 338 to 795 of the family's 1533-position model. The record is from RNAcentral. Lineage: Bacteria; Pseudomonadati; Pseudomonadota; Gammaproteobacteria; Oceanospirillales; Halomonadaceae.
CCUACGGGCGGCAGCAGUGGGGAAUAUUGGACAAUGGGCGAAAGCCUGAUCCAGCCAUGCCGCGUGUGUGAAGAAGGCCUUCGGGUUGUAAAGCACUUUCAGUGGGGAAGAAAGCCUUGGGGCUAAUACCCUCGAGGAAGGACAUCACCCACAGAAGAAGCACCGGCUAACUCCGUGCCAGCAGCCGCGGUAAUACGGAGGGUGCGAGCGUUAAUCGGAAUUACUGGGCGUAAAGCGCGCGUAGGCGGUCUGAUAAGCCGGUUGUGAAAGCCUCGGGCUCAACCUGGGAACGGCAUCCGGAACUGUCAGGCUAGAGUGCAGGAGAGGAAGGUAGAAUUCCCGGUGUAGCGGUGAAAUGCGUAGAGAUCGGGAGGAAUACCAGUGGCGAAGGCGGCCUUCUGGACUGACACUGACGCUGAGGUGCGAAAGCGUGGGUAGCAAACAGGAUUAGAUACCCUUGUAGUC